Chlorocebus sabaeus (green monkey) is the source of this 1810-nucleotide non-coding RNA. The record is from the annotation of a RefSeq genome assembly. Lineage: Eukaryota; Metazoa; Chordata; Mammalia; Primates; Cercopithecidae.
UCAAAAGAAACAGAAGGCAAAUCAGAGGAACAAAUUCUUUAUAUAGAUACAUGAUUUUUACAUUAAAAUUAAAAUCUAUCAAAGAAUUACUCUGUUUCUAUUGCGGCCUUUUUUUAGUAUAAAACUUUAGCAUGUCCUCCCUUUCCAAUAAGCACCUUUUCACCAUCAUAAUAUAUCAAGUUCAGUUAACCACACAUUUUUUACUGAAUAUGUACCUCAUUUGAAGUCUGUUUGAAGUAGCCUCUGCAUGUGUAAAGCACCUAUUUUUCAACCCCUUCUCGGAGUUUCAUUUUUUGUUUUAUAUCUACUGUUUAAUACGACAAAUGCUCCAAAAAUGUUUAUAAAACAUUUUCUUACUUUUCUCUCUCUAAAAAUGUUUAAGGAGAAGGUUCAAGUUUCUUUUUGCACUAAAGAUCAUUAUGGGAUGGGCUCCUAAUAGGCCCAACCUAGAGAAAAAUCUGAGUUAUUGUUUGGUCAAAGAGGUUUACACAGAAGCCAGCUAUGAAUUACUUCUAACGAGAAGAGCAAGGCUCCUGUUUUCGCUUGUCAUUUAUCUUCUCUUGCCUUACUCUUUUCUCCUAUUUUGCUUUUUCUUAUCUCUCUUUCAAAAUUUUUCUCUCCCUCUUGAUGCAAAGCUAUAUUUUCCUUUCCUUUUCUGUGCAUUUUCCCAUCCUAUUUCCCUUCUUUCUGCCUCUACAUUAAGAGAGCACAAAUCAUUUACAGCUUGGUCCACUCAGCCUGAAUCUUUUCCACUUUGAUUCACAAACUUCUAUUUCUUCUCCUUUGAACCCCUGAUUUGCUCCCUAUGUCCCUCAUGGAGCGUGUAGCCCACCCAAAGCUUGACCCGGGGAUAAGGCCAGGAAGCACCAGCUACUUGACAGUAAAGUUGCUGGUCCUACGUGUGGGCUCUAGGGGGCGAUGCAGUGUAAGGUCCUGGUACAGGAGGAGCGGCAGUCUUGCUCCCCACAGAGCUUUGAGGAGCUGGACCGGAAGUGUGCUCCACAGAGAGAAGAUACCGGUGCCGGGAAGCACCAGUGCCCUGAGGAAGGGCCAUUUCUAGAAGCCUCGUGCUGACACAAGGGUGCUGGUUCCUCUUCAAGAGCCCACUCUCUGGGGUGGGGCAGUAUCUCCAGCAGAGGUGGACUGGAAAGGACCCCCCCACCCCGCCCGCCGUAAGCUUAGCUGGAGCCAUGGCCUCUGCACGCAUCUUGACGCUUGCGAUGCUCUUCACAUUGAGUGGGCUGAGAGCUCAGUUGGUGACUCAGCCAGAAGAUCAGGUCACGGUCGCCGAAGGGAAUCCUCUGACUGGGAAAUGCACCUAUUCAGUCUCUGGAAACCCUUAUCUUUUUUGGUAUGUUCAAUACCCCAACCAAGGCCUCCAGUUCCUUCUGAAAUACAUCACAGGGGACAACCUGGUUAAAGGCAACUAUGGCUUUGAAGCUGAAUUUAACAAGAGCCAAACCUCUUUCCACCUGAAGAAACCAUCUGUCCUUGUGAGCGACUCUGCUUUGUACUUCUGUGCUGUGAGAGACACACUGAUAGGGGCUGCAGGGGGAGCAGAACACAAACUUUGAGUCUAGUAAAACCCAUUUUCUUGAAGCCUUUGUUCCUCACGAGAGUGGUGUGGUUCCAGGAUAUGUCACUUAUUAUAGUUAAACUACAAUUUAAAACCAUAGAAUUUGCUCAUUCAGCAAGUGUUUAUUGAGUCCUGAUGUGCCAGGUACUGGGCUAAGCACCGGUCAUAAAAAGGUGAAAGAAGUGUAAAACAAAUAGAAAAAAACAUAGGGGAAAAUUACCAUGACAUUGAUCU